UACGGGGGGGGCUAGCGUUGUUCGGAAUUACUGGGCGUAAAGGGCUUGUAGGCGGCCAACUAAGUCAGACGUGAAAUCCCUCGGCUUAACCGAGGAACUGCGUCUGAUACUGGAUGGCUGGAAUCCGGGAGAGGGAUGCGGAAUUCCAGGUGUAGCGGUGAAAUGCGUAGAUAUCUGGAGGAACACCGGUGGCGAAGGCGGCAUCCUGGACCAACACUGACGCUGAGGAGCGAAAGCCAGGGGAGCAAACGGG
RNAcentral lists this ribosomal RNA (253 nucleotides) under uncultured bacterium. Its description in RNAcentral is "partial 16S ribosomal RNA". It matches the Rfam family "Bacterial small subunit ribosomal RNA", at positions 524 to 776 of the family's 1533-position model. The record is from RNAcentral.